UACAGAGGGUGCGAGCGUUAAUCGGAAUUACUGGGCGUAAAGCGUGCGUAGACGGCUAUCUAAGUCGGGUGUGAAAGCCCGGGCUCAACCUGGGAAUUGCAUUCGAGACUGAAUAGCUAGGGUGCGGUAGAGGGAAGCGGAAUUUCCGGUGUAGCGGUGAAAUGCGUAGAUAUCGGAAGGAACACCAGUGGCGAAGGCGGCUUACUGGUCCAUUACUGACGCUGAGGUGCGAAAGCGUGGGGAGCAAACAGGG
Molecule: ribosomal RNA, 253 nt
Filed under: uncultured bacterium
Lineage: Bacteria
Description: partial 16S ribosomal RNA
Rfam family: Bacterial small subunit ribosomal RNA
Source: RNAcentral